UGGCGGCUCGGGCGCGGACAGGACACGGCCGGGGGCGGGGCCUUGGGGAACUGGAGGGACGCCGGCCAGGGCAGGGGUCCCGGUGUGCGGGCUGCUGCGAGCCUGUGUCCGGUGAGGCGUGGUGGUCCUCGAGUGGCUUCUGUGGCCCUCACGCCUCCUGCAGGCCCGGGUCGGGCCAGCCUGGUCUUGCCGGCUCGGGCCUCGGUCUACUGGGUGGCAGGUUAAUCAGCGUGAGGGAUGAACGGCAAGGAACUUGGUGUAGACCGGGAAGGCUUCCUGGUGUGGCGGCCGUGGUGGUAUUGUGCAGAGGUGGGCCCUGAUCCGCUUGACGGUGUCCUUAUGAAGAGGGGAAACGAGACAGCCGGGCACACACGGAGAAGCGCGUGAAGGCAGGGCGGCCGUCUGCAGGCCCAGGAGAGGGCCUGGGACAGACCUCCUCACAGCCCUCGGGAGCCAGGCUCCGACACUGGGAUCUCGGGCUUCUGGCUUCCAGAACGUUGAGGUUCCCGGAACAGGCGCUAGAGGGGGCUGUAACCCAGGUCUGCUGGCAGGCUGUGGAGGAGCAGCCCAGCCAGUGCCAGAGGACGGGCUGCUGCCUCGGCGUCUGCUCUCGGUGGCCCGGGGCCUGUGGGGCCUUGAACUGGCGGGAGCCUCUGCAGUGCGGGCCCCAGAUGACAGCCUGCAGGGUCACCAGUAAACUGAUGUUCCCAGUGUGACCCCCCCAACGCCAAAUGAAAAGUGUGGAACUGGAAAACACAGUAGCCACGAUAGCAUCACGCCCGUCCCUGGACACGGUGACCACUGUCCGCUGCUGGAUGGGUGUGAUAGCAACAUGGAGCUGGUGGAAAGACUCGGGAAAUUCACAGAUAAGGCAGUAGAACCUGCUCAGUCUAAGCAACAGAGAGAGAACAGACUGAAGAGACACAGAGCCUCAGAUCUGCAGGACAGUCAUUUGAUCACCAGAGACCCGGAGCAAGAGGAGGGAGCGUGUGGGCUGCAAAGUGUUGCAAGGAGUAAUGGCUGACAACGUCUGAGCCUGGUGAAAGACAAGCCCGCAGGCACAGCGGACUAACAAGCCCCGAGUAGGCCCGGGUGUAGCGUCAGCCACUCCGCCGCCCCCGACUCUGGAUGUGGCCCCCAGGCGCCUCUGUCCACGGGAUUCUCCAGGCAGGAAUACUGGUGUGGGUAGCUCCUCCCUUCUCCAGGGGAUCUUCCUCGACCCAGGGAUUGAACCCGAGCCUCCUGCAUUGCAGGUGGGUUCUUUACCAUUUGAGCCACCAGGGAAGAGCUAAGCCCUCUAAAAAUCCACACUAAGACACAUCGUGAUUAAAUCUCUGAAAACGAGUCACAGAAAAAAAAAGUGAAAACCGAGAGAGAUGUGGUGUCGCCUCGAGAGGGACACGAGUGUGAGUGAGAGGCUUCUUGUCGGAAAGCAUAGCGGCCAGAAGGAAGUGGCACGUUCUUCAACGUCUGACGGUUGCAGCAAAGCAGGGGACUCUGUGCGCGUGAGAGAAGCGAGAGGGGUGGAGGGAGGACUCUGCGCCACGCGACGGGGCGGAACGUCGGUGCCAUGGACUGGUGACUGCGUGCGUCCACGGGGGUGUGCAGAGCGUUGCUCACAGACGUUGACAGCGAUGCACUCAGCGCGCCGUCCGGGGGAAUUCUGGCAGAUAUCCAGGUGCCCCGCGCUGUGGCGCAGGACAGGACAAGGCCACUUGAGCACUAAUUAUCUGUAGUUACUGCAGAUGUGAACGGCAUGUACACACCAGUGAGAAGACAGAUUCGCAGGAGGGAUAAAAACCCAUGACCCAACUCCACGUUUUCUGUCAUAUGCUGAAACUCACUUCAAACGUGGUAACGGGGAGGCUGAAAGAAAAAGGAUGGAGAAAGAUCUAUCAUGUAAACAUUCUCUUUGAAAAACUAGAAUGAUGACUCUCAGCCAAGGCAGAUGUCAGAGCAAGGGGAAUUUCCAGGGGAAAACAGGUCGAUUGUGUAACAAUGAAAGGAUUAGUCCACCAGGCAGAUACAUAGCAGUCACAAAUGUUUAUGACCCAAACAGAUCUUUAAGAUACACAAAGCAAACACUGGUGGAGCUGAAAUGAGAGGGACAAACCCCCCAGUUUCAGGUGAGGACCUCAGCUCCCACUCUUCACAGCUGCUGGAACUGCUGGACAUUCGGAAAGGACACAGACCAGUGUCGAUUGGAGGGAUCAGUGGACAUUCAUGGAACCCUCCACUCAACAGGCGAGGAGUGCAUGCUGUUCACAGCUGCCCGGGGACGUGCCAGGAGAGACCAUAUGUAUCCUGGGCCAUAAAACAGACCUCGACAAAUGGAAGUGAAGUCGGAGCAUAAAAAUCAGUGACAGAAAGACAGACUCCAAACGGGGACGAUAACUCAGUUCCCAGAAACGAAGGGGAAGAACUGUUGACACAGGCAGAGACUCGGGUGCACCUCCAGGCGGUGUGCCGAGUAAAGGGCAAUCCUGACGAGACGCCGACUGCGCGAGUCCCUGUAAGCAGUCCCGAGGUGACACGGGAGUGGAGGACCCGGGAGCGGUCUCCGGGGCUGGGGGCUGGGCCGGGCGUGAUUGCACGGGCAUAGCGGGGGAGCCUCCCGAGUGUCCUGAUUGAGGUGGCGGCUCUGUGAGCACUCGGGGGUCCAGCCUCCUGCCCCCUGCCCCCUGCCCCCUGUCCCCUGCCCCCUGCCCCCUGUCCCCUGACAUCCCUGCAGACGGGAUGAACAGGAGCAGUAGGAGAGGGACCGCGCCUGGAAAGGAGCAAAUGCGAAACGGGAACAGGAAGCUGCAUCUUCAACGAGAGGCACGUGGGCGGCAGAAGCAGCAAAUGCUCGGAUCAGGUGAGGAGACGUUUGGAAGGACGUGGAGGGUUAGGGCCCCGAGUCUCACGGGUGGGAAGGUUAGGUAGUGCCGCCACUGAGGAGCCCUGUGGUUCCUGAAAAAAUGGAGCAGGAUUCGCAAGUGCCCUGCCAGUCCACACGCGGGUGCGAGAAGGGAAAGGCGGGGAAGGAGGGGAGGGGAGGGCUCUCGGGUCUGCCCCCCUUGUUCACAGCGGCCAGAAGGUGAGCCUGGGAUGUGCUGGGUACACGCCACCCAAGGCGUGUGCGUGAGUAUCGGCCGUGGUACGACGCUGACCCCGGCCGGUGUGGGCCAGCCGCAGCCACGCUCCGCCUGGUGAGAGGAGCCCUCUCGCGGGGCCGUGAGUCUGCGUCCUGCUUCCCUGAGGCACUGAAGCUGGCGUGGUGGCUGGGAGCGGGGCAUCCUAGCUGCCACAGGCUGUCCCGAUGCGAUAGGUGGCGAAGCCCAGUUGGCAAGUUUGUGGGGGGUGGCCGCUCGAGGAAGAGGAAGAAAGCCGGGUCCCGGCCUCGGCCCAGCCGGACGAGGGGAAACACUUUAGAUGAGGCUGCAGUUUUGACCGUUUCAUGGCACUGGCCACGAAGAGGCUGAGUUGACACUGGCUGCAUAUGUUGACAUAACGGUAGAACUUUGAAAUUCUCUGCGUUUGAGCCGAAAUGUGAUGGAACUGUCCCAAAUGUAUAAGCAGGAGCCACCUCCUCCGAAUGGAGUUUAGAGGCCCGGCCAGGGUAGGAAGGAGCCUCCUCCUCCGAAUGGAGCUUAGAGGCCCGGCCAGGGUGGGAAGGAGCCUCCUCCUCCGAAUGGAGCUUAGAGGCCCGGCCAGGGUGGGAAGGAGUGACUUCAGGUCUGCUCCAGGAGCGCCCGUUCCCUGUCCUGGUGACGAACGUCGUGAACUGUCAUCUCACCAGCACAACAGACCGCCACGAGCCGGUGCGCUUGGUCGGACUGUUUAUUAGCUCCUCCGGCCAGUUCUCAUGGGACGCUCGGGGUCCCGGCAUCCACAGGAGCCCCUCCUCACAAAGCUGAGGGCCGGAAGCCUGUGGAUGGUGGGGAUGAAGGGGAAGGACCCCAGCUGGCGAAGAUGAGGGGACGAUGGGGCGGGGCCUGGGGCUCUGGGGACCGGCGACCCCUGCUGCCCGCGGGCGUCACUGCCUCUGUCUUCUGCAGCUGUUGUGAGUCACCACUGGCGCGGGGCCUCACACGUCUGACCAUCUCGCGUCAGGGGCUCAGGAGUCCGGCAGGGCUCGGGUGUGUCCCCUGAAGGCAGCCCUGGAGGCCUGGGCCGGUCCUCUGCUGGGGGCCCCGCGCCUUGGGUGGCCUGCUGCCCCUCGGAGCCCUGCCCCGAGCUCUAGGCCAGGUCCCUGCCCUCCGGCCCCUGCUUGGGCCCCUCUUCUGCACCCACACAGGCCCUGACAGCUCUGCUCUGUGCGGGGCGCUUACCUUGCCCUCCCCCCGCCCCGCCAGGAGGGACGUGGCUGGACAAGCUGUACUGGUAGCCUUGCGGUCACUGGGUCCCUUUGGUUCCCCGUCAGCAGGUGCUGGGAGCCACGCCCACCUCCAUGCCCACAGGUGGGAGACUCUUCCAGGUGAAGCCCCCCGAAGCUCCCACGCUGUUGCUGGCUGGGAAGCAGGACUCACCUAGGAGUCUGCCUCCCGAGCCCAGCUCAGCACCCCCGGGUGGGGGGACGGUUCUGAGACCCCCCUCGCCUGGGCAGGUACCCACGUCCGUCUCCUCGCCCCUCAGGGUCUAAUGCAGUGUCCGUGCUCCCCAGGGCGCUCGGCACAGCAGGGGGCAGAGAAGGGGGCAGGUUCAGCAAUUGGGCUCCCGCACGCUUCGCACAGAGCCAGGGCUUCAGGGAGACCCCGGUGGAACCCCAAGGGCCCAAGCUGGCCUGCAGGUGUGAGGGCCCCAGGCAGGGAGGGUUCCUUGCAGAAGCAAUGUCCCUGUUGAAUCCUGGUGGGUGAACUGGACUUGGCACCUCCAGGAGUCUGGGGCAGGGGAGGGAGUGGUUGGAAAAUAAGGAGGUUUUGAAGCUGGAGCCUUGUAAGACUCAGAGACUCGGGUUCCGGGGUGGGUGAGGGCCCUGGGCUGGGGCACAGGCACCCCUUCUCUGGGGAGGGCAGGAGGGCUGCGCUGGGGGGCCGCCCUGUGGGUGGAGGGGACGCACAGGCCAGCAGGACCUGUGGGGAUGUUUGCCUGACGUGAUCCCCGCCUCACGCCCUCAGGACGGCGGCCUCCCUGUGGGUGGAGGGGACGCACAGGCCAGCAGGACCUGUGGGGAUGCUUGCCUGACGUGAUCCCCGCCUCACGCCCUCAGGACGGCGGCCUCCCUGUGGGUGGAGGGGACGCACAGGCCAGCAGGACCUGUGGGGAUGCUUGCCUGACGUGAUCCCCGCCUCACGCCCUCAGGACGGCGGCCUCCCUGUGGGUGGAGGGGACGCACAGGCCAGCAGGACCUGUGGGGAUGUUUGCCUGACGUGAUCCCCGCCUCACGCCCUCAGGACGCCCAGUCACCCAGGGCUUGCCACUGUCCAGCCCGGCCAGGUGAGGACCUUGACCCAGCUGUGCGUGGCAACACUGGUCCACACAGCCCCCUUACCCUGCUCCAGGAGGGGCAUCCCCAAGGUGCCCCCACGUGAGGCCACCGGCCACCCGCGGUCUAGGUGGCUCCCUGGUGGACCCUGUGCUUACCCCCCGUCUCGGGAAGGGGCGUAGGCCGUGCAGUUCAGGGUGGAGUCUCUUGGAUCAGCUGCACGGGCCACUGUGCCGUCAGUGGGAGCGUUGCCCGGGCUGCCCCAGUGGCUCAGCAAUCAAGUGCAGGGGAUGUGGGUCCAGCCCCCGGUGGGACGAUCCCCUGAGGGGGAAGUGGUGCCCACUCCAUAUUCUUGCCUGGAGAGUCCCGUGGACAGAGGGGCCCGGCAGCUGCAGCCCACGUGGUCGCAAGAGUCGGACACGAUUCAGCCUCUGAACAACAGCAACAGCAGCUGGUCUGUGCCGCCCGGUUCUGGACACAGGGAGGCCGGGCCUGGUUUGAGGGCCCCUGGCUCCCUGCCUUGAAGCAGACGCGCCGCGCGUCGCCAUGGCCGCGCCGGGGCCGCAGCAGCUGGACGAGGACGACGGCCUGAGGGCCUGCGAGCUCUACGUGCAGAGGUGCGGGGUCCAGCAGGUGCUCAGGGAGUGCAUCGUGCAGCUCUGCUUGGCCAAGCCCGAGCGCCCCAUGCGGUUCCUGCGCGAGCACUUCGAGAGGCUGGAGAAGCUCCUAGCAGGCCGGGCGGCUUCACGCCCCCACAGGACCCCGUCUUCUUCUGCGGCUCAGGCUCUCAGCGCCCCCCACCCCCACCCCGAAGGCUUGGGGUCGUUUGGGAAGUGGUGGCUGUGACUGUCGUUUGUGGGGUCACCAGGAGUUCUCAACUCAGGGACCAUCAGAGAUGCGCUCUGCGCUCAGGGUGAAAGCGAACGAACGGCCAACAGGGAGCGUGGUGGAGCGGUGAGGUCCUCCUUAGGAGGGUCUGCAGUUCUGAGACCAGGCAGGUGCAGCCCCUCAGACCCGCGGCUGCACACCCCGCUCCCUCAUGCCUGGAUGACCCCCCUCUCCCCUCCUGGUUCCUGGUGUGGGCGGGGGCCGGGAGCAGGAGAUGGGCAGGAACCCCCAGAGGACCCCCGAGCAGCUUCCUCACCCCCUCAUCCCCCCACCUUCCUGCUCAUCCCGUCUCUUUCCCCUCAUCGCCCCCACCUUCCCACUCAUACCCCAUCCCUGUCUCUUCCCCCUCAUCCCCCCGCUCAUCCCGUCUCUUCCCCCUCAUCCCCCACCUUCCUGCUCAUCCCUGUCUCUUCCCCCUCAUCCCCCCAUCGCGUCUCUUCCCCCUCAUCCCCCCCACCUUCCUGCUCAUCCCUGUCUCUUCCCCCUCAUCCCCCCCCCCACCUUCCCGCUCAUCCCGUCUCUUCCCCCUCAUCCCCCCUGCCCCCGGCACUCACUCCCUCUGGGUAACCCCGGGCUCCUCCUCGAGGUCCUCAUGUCAGGACCUGUCUGACACUGCUUGCCCCUCUUGGGGACUGAACGGGACCCCAGUUGGGGCCCAGCUCUGUUUUAAGCACCUCUGUGUCCCCAAGCCCCGCGAUACUUAACUUCUGACGGAGGCCCCUGUGGACACAGAGCCUUAACCCAGAGGAAUGGAUUUAUUUCUUCCCUUGGAAACAACCCGCUGAAGCACAAUUUAAAGUAAUACGUGCCUUUUAAAGAAAAUUUGGAAAGUUCAGAGGUGGAAAGAAGGAGUAGGAAUCACCUGGAGCCCUUCCCACCUGUCCCUGCCCCUGCUCAUUACGGUUUUGGAACACGGCUGGAGUCAAGUCGCGCGUGCAGCUUUAUGUCCUGCGUUUCUCACACGUCCCUCGCAGUCCUCGCUGUAAAUGACUGUGUCGUGUGGAGAAGAUUCACCAAAGUCUUCUCAACAUCUUCCUCAUGAUUGGACAGCCGUUUCCAGCUUUUUUUUUUUUUUUUGGAAAGUAAUGCCAUACGAACAUAUCCAUGCAUAUAUUUUUUUUUCUUUCUGCAUGUAGCGUCGUUUAGAGGUGGAAUGACUGAAAUUCCAGGUGGACUUCCUGGGUUACAGAGAUGUUGCUGGUGUGGGCGGUCAGGGUCUCUCCAAAGGGAGCAUCAGUUCAAGACCCACCAGCAGAUGGUGUGGUUGUGGCCACCCACCCUAGGCAGCCUUAGCUGUGCUUGCCUGCGUGAGCAUGCAUGCGAGCGAAGUUGCUCAGCUGUGUCCGACUCUUUUUGACGCCAUAGACUCUAGCCUGCCAGGCCUCUCUGUCCCAGGGAUUCUCCACGCAGGAACACUGGAGUGGGCUGCCAUGCCCUUCUGCACGGCUCUGGCUGAUUUACUGUGAAAAGCUGUUUUCAGCUGAUGGCUGAGCACGGUCCUGUGGCUUUCAUCUGUUUUCCUUUGGUCCCUUCCGAGAUCACUGUGUAGGAGAGAGAUCCGGUGCCCAGCCGGUGCCCAGAGGACAGGGCGGGGCCGUGCCCAUCUUCCUGCACGUGUGAGGGGGCAGAGUCAGGCUCUGACAGUGCGACUCGACUUGUUCACGACCACCCCAGCCCGGUGACGCGUCCCAUGGGAUGUGAGCUCUCAGCAGGGCGGACGCAGGCAGCCUGCUUGGAAGACAGAGGCCUCAGAGUUCAUCUCGCUUGAUAGACACCAGGAGUGCAGUUGCUGUGUUGCGUGGAGACAGACACCGGAGUGUCUUCCAGAGCGGCUGCCCCGUUUUGCAUCCAGGCAUUUUGCGGCCGUGGGGGAGGGUUCCUGUCGCUGUCUCCUUGCCAGCAGGUGGUGGGCAGCGUCCUGGACUCCGGUCAUCCCCGCAGGCCUGCAGCGGUGGCUCUUGUGUUUGAGAAGAAACGUGAGGAGAAGCAGCUUCCCUACGCUCGGUGCCGUGUGCAGACCUCCCCUGCGAGGGCUCUGCUCAGAUCUUUGGCCUGGUUUCCAUUCCGGUUCGUUUUGUUUCUGCUGAGUUUUAAGAGCCCCCUAGGUGGCGCCAGUGGUAAAGAGCUAGCCGGCCAGUGCCAGAGGCGUGAGAGAUUCUGCUCUGAUCCCUGGGUCGGGAAGAUCCCCUGGGGGAGGAAAUGCCAACCCACUCCAGACAAUCCCAUGGACAGAGGAGCCUGGUGGGCUGCACUCCAUGGGGUCGCAAAGAGUCGGACACGACAGAAGCGACUUAGCACGCACGCACAGAGCUCUUUGUACGUUUUGCGUACAAAUCCUGCCUUCGCUCUAUCUGUUUUGCAGAUGUUUUCUCCUAGUCCAUGUGCUGUCUUUUCAUUCUCUUGAUCAGAUACAAUUUUUUUCCUUUGGCUUCGCCAUGUGACUUGCCGGAUCUUAGUCCCCUGACCAGGGGCAGAACCCAGGCUCUGGUGUGAAAGCACGGAGUCCUAAGCGCUGCACCGCUGUGGAAUUCCGUGACUGUGCAUAAUUCUGGGUCCUGCUUUUCGGCGUUUGAAAGCAGACUUCACACAGUUGCUAAGUUUGUCAAACGUGUGGUUCAGCGAUGCGGUGUGUUGUAUCGUGCAGAUGCUUCUGACUUGAUUGGCGCCAUCUCUCGUUGGUUGAAGUGGAACAUCUUUCAGCCCUGCAAGGAUCUUCUGGCAGAUUCCUUGGUGACGCCUCUCACUGUUUCCUUAGGAUGUGUUUUAAGAAACAGAAUAUGAAGCUCAGACGCACCCAGUGAUAGUAAAGCCACUUCUCCCAAAAGGUUUCACUCAUUCAUUCCGCCAGUUUUUAUCGAACAGCUCUACGCGCCGGGCACUGUCCCAGGUGCUGAGGACGUGCUGGUGAGCCCCCGGGAAGCCCCCUGGGAAGCAGUGGUUCCGUGUGGGUGUGUGCGACGGAGGGCCGCGACGCGGGGGCACGGGGCCUGCCCCGCGUAGUCACUGAGCUCGGUUCCUUUUCUGGGCUUCAUCUCGAGAUCACGAUCGGGUUACAUCAGAGACCCUAGAAGGAGGUACGUGAGCUCAGAGCUUCAGAAUUCGAGAGUGAAGUACCCAGUGUGACUUGUUAUCUCUAGGGACCCCCCAGGAUGACUUUGUCUUUUUCUCACUCAGAAACCAAAAUUUUUACUGUAAUCCAGUCAAGUUACAAAUUAUUAAUAAAAAGCCAGAAAAAAGGAGCCCGAAGCCCCUGCGUAUGUUUGGAAAUCAGUAAUGAGCUUUUGUCUGUUCAUCAGCAGAAGACUGUCGUGGUAAAAAUGUUACAAAAUAUUUAGGCUGAGCGACAGUAACAGCAUUGCUUAUCAAAGCGUGUGGAGCAGCAAGGCUGGUACUCAGAGGGAAAUGUGCAGCCUCCUUAGAGGCAAGAGGAAGAAACAAGAUGAGACACUAAUGAGCUGCGUGUUAGUUUCCUCGGGUGCCAGAGCAAACUGACAAGAAAUGGGGCCGCUUACAGCAGGUAUUUGUUAUUCAGUUGUGGAACCCAGAAGCCCCAAAUCAAGGCCUUGGGAAAGGCAGUUACUUCUGGGGGCUCUGAUGGGGGUCCAUCCUGGGUCUCCCCUGCUUUUUGGGGCUCUGAUCGGGGCUCUGCCCUGGGCCCCCCCUAUUUCCGGGGGCUGCCCUCGACUGGCAGACCCAUCACCAGACGGUCCCGUGUUUGUCCCUGUGUGUCUGUGUCCAGACUUCCUCCUGAAAGGACGUGCGCCGCUGGGUUAGGGCCGCUCCGAUGCAGGAUGACCUCAUCUUAACUUGAUUGUUUCUGCGAAGAGUUCUUUCCAAAUUAAGCCACACUCUGAAGUUCUUGAUAGACAUGAGUUUUUGAGGGGCCCUUUUCAACCCGCUGCCAGCUGGCACCUGCGAAGCCAGGAGGAGAGAAAGACAGCAAGAUAGAGACGCGGGAAAACAACAAGGAUAAACGCAGAAGCUAAUCCAGCAGAAGUCAGAGAAGGAGCAGCAGACGAUGAAACCAGAGGCUGACUCUGAAGAGACGGCGAAGUCAGCGUCCAGGGGCUGCCACGUUGCGAGACGCACACGCUGUGCUUUGCCACAUGCGGGGGAGGAGGGGGUCACGGAGGAGGAGGGUGGUGAGGGGUGGGCUCAGGUCUGCCCACGCCCCCUGGUUCAGCUCUGCACAUCUGGGUGGACUCAGAAGGCACCUCCUCCAGGAAGCUCUCCUAGACUCCUUGCUGAGGACGGUCCAAGGGCCGGCUGUUGCUGGCACAGCCCCUGUGCAUGGCUCUUUAGUGGUGCUCACCCGCCAUCUUGCUGAGCCCGCUCAGUGUCUGUCCUUUUCGAGCUCUGACAGUAACCUCCUUCAUGGCGGAACCAUGCUCUUUUCCCCUGUUGCAUACAGAGGUGCCCAAUAAAUGAUCGAAGCCC
RNA transcript from Capra hircus (goat), 10732 nucleotides. It is a transcript of the gene named translation initiation factor IF-2, with no coding region annotated. The record is from RefSeq and is a predicted model, not a curated record. The transcript is spliced from 6 exons. Lineage: Eukaryota; Metazoa; Chordata; Mammalia; Artiodactyla; Bovidae.